GAUGAAGAACGCAGCGAAAUGCGAUAAGUAAUGUGAAUUGCAGAAUUCAGUGAAUCAUCGAAUCUUUGAACGCACAUUGCGCCCUCUGGUAUUCCGGAGGGCAUGCCUGUUCGAGCGUCAUUUCAACCCUCAAGCAUUGCUUGGUGUUGGGGCACCGCCUGUAAAAGGGCGGGCCCUGAAAUCUAGUGGCGAGCUCGCCAGGACCCCGAGCGUAGUAAUUAUAUUUCGUUCUGGAAGGCCCUGGCGGUGCCCUGCCGUUAAACCCCCAACUUCUGAAAAUUUGACCUCGGAUCAGGUAGGAAUACCCGCUGAACUUAAGCAUAUCAAUAAGCGGAGGA
Molecule: unclassified non-coding RNA, 338 nt
Filed under: soil metagenome
Description: partial contains 5.8S ribosomal RNA, internal transcribed spacer 2, and large subunit ribosomal RNA
Rfam family: 5.8S ribosomal RNA (bases 1-120)
Source: RNAcentral